RNAcentral lists this long non-coding RNA (41391 nucleotides) under Triticum aestivum (bread wheat). Its description in RNAcentral is "long non-coding RNA (TAES_LNC019949)". The stretch from base 33273 to 33397 matches the Rfam family "MIR1120/MIR1122 microRNA precursor family". Lineage: Eukaryota; Viridiplantae; Streptophyta; Magnoliopsida; Poales; Poaceae. The record is from RNAcentral.
UUUUUUUUUGGUUUAGGCAUCACUUCAGUCAUUCUGACUGGUUCUCCUAGACCCCACUUAACAGUACGGUGGUUCCUAUGACUCAACACAAAAGAAAAAGAACUACGAAAGAUCUAAGUCUUCGAGCUCCAUAGGCUUCAUAUCUUGUCUUCUUUUGUCAUAGUCUUCAAUGUGAAUAUCUUCAUAUACCACCUUUGACUUCAGUGUCUUCAUACAUUUUUAGGGGUCAUCUCUGGUAGUAAAACCGAAUCAAUGAGGGACUUCUACCUGUGUUAUCCUGCAAUUCUCACAAACACAUUAGUCCCUCAACUAGGUUUGUCGUCAAUACUCCAAAACCAACUAGGGGUGGCACUAGAUGCACUUACAAUCUCCCCCUUUUUGGUGAUUGAUGACAAACUAGUUGAAGUUUUCAACGGGGAAUAUAGUCUGUGAAGUUGUAAAGGAUAAGGAAUUGUCUUCAUAAGUUGCAAGGGCUCCCCCUGAAGAUGUGCAUAUAAGUUAAUUUGCUUUUGGAAUGCAAAUGCACAUGGCAGGUUGUACUUGUGGAGAUCCACUUCAGCUUAUGAUGACAAUCCACUAUGCAUGUGAAAGUAUAUGAAGAUAAUGACAUGCAUAAUGGAAAAUGGACGUCUGCAGAAUGAGAUAAGUGCGGAAUUUUAUCGUCGCACAUGCGGAAUUUAUCUUCGCAAAACAGGGUGGCAAACAAGUAGCAGACGACCAUCUGGUUUAAGUGUUACAACUCAUAAGAACCAAAUGUAGCAAAAACGAGAGUUGUAAACACGAAGCAAAAUAUAAGGCACCCGCCCAUAUGAACCCGCUUGAAGACUAUCAAUCUCAUAUGCUUCUCCCCCUUUUGUCAGUAAUGACCAAAAAGGUUUGAAGACAUAGAGUCGCUACUCGUUCCUAUGAGGAGUAGGUGAAGCAGCAGGGUUGUUGAUGUUGUUUGGUGAUGCAGAAGAGCUUGGAGGUGCUGAAGCAGAUGGUGGUGAAGUAGCAUCGUCUUCUUCCUCAAUGAUUCUGGCAGUGACUGUGGCAGCAGAGGAAGAAAACUGAGAGUCUUCAAGAGAUGGAGUCCCCAGCAGCACAGCUCUUCGAGGAGGUGUGGAGUCAAACUUGAAUCUCUCAGUGAAGCCAUCCUCUUGAAGAUCAGCUUCAGAAAGCAUCAUCGUUAGCCCUUUCCAUGUGCGGCGACAAGUUUCAUGGGCAACGAAAGCGUUCUUGGUGGCAAGAUUUCGGAUGCGAUUUACAUCCACCAAGAGGCUCUUCAUCUGUCUCUUCAACCAGUCAUGAUGCCUAUCCUGCUUUUUAUGAAGGGCCACAAGAAGCUCUCGGUCGUUGAGAACACGAGUGCGCUUCUUGGGUCUUGAAGCAGUGGCACUGUCAGUGGAUUCAGUUGAAGAAGGGUGUGGUGCACGUGUAGUGCCAGCCAAAGGAUACACCCUGGAGAUGGCUUCAACACCUUCAACGUUCUGAGUGAAGCUCUGGUGUUCUGCAUUCUGAAGACUCAAAGGUUGCUUGGCAGGCUCAGGAUAUAUAGCUUCAGCAGAGGUAUCCACAUCUGGCAAGAAGAUCCGAUGGUUGCGGGCUGAGGGCCGAUAUGAGAUUGCAGAGUGAAGCUUGAUCAGUCUCAUUACCCAAGGAGCAUAGAACUUCAAACCAAGUAAAUCUGAGCCUGAUGCAGCAAGUUGGCGUAUGAAGAAGUCCUGUGCGUUGAAGCAUUUGCCAUGAAAGAUACAAAAUAUCAGAGUCUUCAUUGCACCCUCGAUCUUGGCAUUUGGAGAGUGCCCUUUGAUAGGCCAGAGAGUCCGCCGGAUAAUGUGAUAGAUGGUUCUGGGCAGGUACUCAAAGUCUUCAACGAAGAACUCUAUUGGAUAAGGAGCAUCGUGGGGCAAUGGCUUCAUCAUGGAGAGCAUCUGACUCAUAUUCGGUUCAGGCCUCUGGAAUAUGCUCUCAAGAGCUUCAGUGUGUAGUGGACAGCCUUCCUCGAAGAAUUCGCCAGGAGUGGGCAGGCCGGUGAGCUCAAUGAUAUCAAAUGCAUUGGCUUCAUGAUGGACAUUGCCGGUCAUCCACUCCAGGGCCCAAGUCUUCGGAUCUCUGUUGUAUCCUUUGAUGUGGAGGGUGGCAUAGAAUUGCAGCAGAAGCUCUUCAUUCCAGUGCUCUUCAUCAGUUACAAACUGCAGCAGACCCACUUGCUUGAAGCAAUCCAAUGCUUCCUCUAAAUAGGGCAGACCAGCAAUGGCUUCAACAUCAAGGCGCUUGUGCGGGAAGAUGCGACCUUGGUUGUAUAGGAUGCAUGAAUAGUAGCUGCGCUGAGGAUAGCUCCAGAACCUAUCUGAUGAAAUCCUUUCCCUUGAAUAGGGGUUCUUAGAGCUGUUGAAGAACGUAUUAUCUGCCUUGAAGCUAUUGAUGUUAAAGGAGCCAGGUGCUGAUGCAGGACCUGGGAACCUCGGCAGCCUUGGGACUGGCUUCUGGACAUGAGGCCUGUGCUCAACAUGGUAAUCAAAUUGAGGACCUGCAGCAGACUCAGGAAUAGAAGUGUCUGGAUCAGUAGCUUCGCUGUCUUCUGAAGCUUUUGGUGGGGAGGGCUCCACAUUGGCUUCAGUGUUGGUUGUGGCAGCCUCAAUAUUUUCAGCCUCCGCUUGACUAGCUGGAGGGUCGGUCACAAGCACGUUCUCCUGGAGAACUGCUUCUUGGUGGAGCAUAGGAGUGGGCUCUUGUGGUGCUUCUUCUGCGGCUGAUGCAGCCGGAAUGUCUUCAGCAUAGACUUGAGGCCUUGGACCUUUGCGAAGCCUGCGGAAUGCAGACGACGCCUGUGGGGUUGGAGUGGGCUGGGCCUCAUUGUCUUCUUCCUCUUAAGGGCGAUCCGCCCAUGAAGCAUCCUGUGCAAUUGGCGUCAGUGGACGACCAAUGCUGAUGAGUUCACUGUGUUCUAAUUGAGGAAGGGAUGCAUCAUCUUCUACAUUGUCACGAUGACCAAUGUCUUCAGCGGCGAUGGGAUCAGCUGCUGGAAUGUCUUCAAGAACAGGAGCCUCUAUGGAAGCAGGCUCAUGCACCAUCAGUUGACGUUCUGCGUCAGGGUGAACCAUAGAAAUAGGUUCAACUAUCAAGGGCUCUAUGGGAGCAGCCCGAGAUUUCUUGGUCUUUCUCUUUUUCUUGCUGGGGGCAGUAGGAGAGGCUUCAAAGCUUUUCCUCUUCCUGGCUUCAGCCUCAGCAGUUCUUGUCUUCUUGAGCUCUGAAGCUGUUGACCGGCUCUUUGGCUUCGAGCCAGUCGUUGCAGUUGGGAAGACAAGCGGAACUGCUUCCUGCCUUGGUGCCUCUUGUUCAGCUGGAACAGUCUUCUUCUUUUUCUUUGCGGCCAUCUUGGGGUCGAUGCUAGGACGCCCAAGUGCCUUGCGCUUCUCAGCCUCAUUGUAGGCCUGCACACAUCUGUUUGCCAGAGUCUUCAUUCGCUCCCGCGAACCUUGAGCUUCUGCAUGCUUCUUCAGAAAGUUUUCCUUUAGUUCAUGCAGCAUGAUCUUGAGGCUCUUCACUUUUUGCAUGCUGAGCUUGGCCAUAUGCUUCUUGAACUGAGCCUUUUCAUGAUCAAUUUUCUGCUUCAGUUCAACAUUGCGCUGGGCAAUUGCAAGUUCUGAAGCAAUAGCGCCUUGGAAGGCGACGCUGAGGCCAACGGGCAGCUGCAGAUCUUUGAAGCUGAUGUUUGGUGUGGCAAACCAUUCAUCGAUGAAGUUGUGGAUGAUGGCGACAUCAAAGAGAGGCAAAUUGUUGAAGAUUUCAGCUUCUUCUUUGCUCUUGAUGAGCUGCUCGAGAGCGUCAUCUCCAAGAUCUUCAUCACUUGACAGAUCAAUGGCUUCGCUACGCAGAAUGGCAGCAGCUGUGAGCUCUUUGCCGGUGUGUGGCUGAGGCAUCUUGGCCUUCUGGGGCUUAGAGACGCGGGAUACGUCUUCAGACUGCACACUGUCUUCAGGAGGUGCAGUUGCCAAUGGCUUCGCCCUUCAGAUUUUUGGUGAAGGGGCCGUCUUUGAAGCUUUUGGCUUCUUCGACUGCUUUGGCUUCGGUACAGCAGGAGCUUCAUCAGACUCAGAGUCAGCUGGAGGGUCAUUCACGGCAGUCCCUUGGACUAAGAUGCGGGUGAUGAGGCCCUCAAGGUUGGCAUACGGACUGAUGAUAUUGGGUUCUGCAUCACGUGUGCCAUCUGCCCUUGGUGCGGAGGAACCAGGGUUGAAGUCUAACCCCAACUUCUUCUUGUUCAGCUUCGCUGAGUUCUGGGCAAACUGGAAGUUGCGCUUGAACAGAUUGUCGUCAUGACACCAGAGUAGUGACGACGGAUGUGCUUUAGCAGGCUGUGGUCCUCGGACCAUGCAUGGGUAGAAGCCUUGAGCAAUGGCUACAUCUCUGGUCCUGGGUAUGAGGUUCUUGUAAAGGAUGUCCCCCCACGGUCUCUUGAUGGCACUUUUCUCAGCAUACUCCUGGGUGACGAAGCGGUAUUGGAACCAUUGUUCUGCCCAAUAGCGUCGAAUCCAUUGGAUUCGGGUCUUGCGCUGACCAUAAUUCUCUUCAGGAUCUGUUUUGUACAUUUCUGCCAGUUCAUCAGGCAGAUCCUUGGAUGUUCCUCCACGUCGCUGUCUGCCCCCCUUCCUUGCUGCUAUUUCUGAAGCCAUAAACCUUAACUUGGAAGGCUUCAAGACGUUCAAAGGCUUCAAAAGCUUUCUUUUGCUGGACCAACAGGAACUGGCUUCAGGAGAAUUUAUGUGAUGCUGUAGGAAUUCUGCAAAUGAAUGCAGACUAUGAGAACCAAAGGAUUCUCCCACGGACAUGUACCUGUGACAGUAUUAAGGUGCGAGGGAAGGGGAAGAGGUCAUAUGCAUUCUCAGAAGAUUUUGAAGAUAAAUCAGUUUAGAAGACAUUGACCUCAUCGUGUGAAGACAUUCACUCAUAGAUAAGAAGUUGGUUCCAGAUUUGUACGAAUCCACAGAUCAGUACAAGUGAGGAAUCUAACUACUUUUUGAAGCACAGGUGAAUAUUCUAGGCAUGUUAUGAGAUGCAGUUUGAGAGAGAUCUAGUUUGUGUGAGCAGAAACUGCUUGUGGUAGAAAGUGACAGAUCAAUAGGAUCAAUGGUGCUGUAAAAGGCAGUUUUAUUUACCACACUGAGAACUGCUAGACGGAGCGAGAGAUGAGGCCGAGCAGUUCACUCGUCCGUGCUCUAACUUGGCGACGGAGGAGACCUACGGCGACGGCGGAGAGGAUGAUGUCCGCGGUCGGCGUGAAGACGGUGUCAGAGAGGUUGCAACAGCGAAGCGCUUCGUCGUCGGCGUCGUCGAGAGCUAGCGGUGGCGCUAGGGUUCGUGCGAGGGUGGAAGAAGAGAUAGUUACCGCUGUGAGUGUGUAUUUAUAGGCACAAGGGCGGCACUGUGCUAUUACACAGGUGCCCCUGGCGAUUCGCAUCUGAGGAACGUGUGGCCAGUUUGCGGAAGUUUGGGGUUUGUUCCACAUCCCAUGCACGCCUGGAUUGUCGGGUGGUCGUUCCUGCUUCUCCGGAUUUUAUGUGGAGGAAUGAGCAUUGAAAACGGACUUUAUAGUUGUCUCUAUAUCUUCUGCUGACAAGGACGCAGUGAAGACAUUCGACAGUUUCAAUAGAAUGCAUAUGACUUGGAGAGAUAGAGUUUGAGAUAGAAAGCAUAGAGAAGUUUGGGGUCCGAUCACAUUCACUUAGUUCAAAAGAUUCAACACGAAGACAUAGCUAUAAGUGAAUGUUGUAGAGGACAGAACACUAGCAUAUAUAUAUAUAUAUAUAUAUAUAGUCAACACAGUGAAGAUAAUCAUGAAAAUAUGUUCGAAGCCAAACCAAAUGUGAAGACAUUGCAAGGUAACGCCAUGAGAGAAACACUUCAAAAUAGAACGUUUGCUGGUUGCGUUACCCACCGUAUAGGAAGUAUUAGACCCAGACACGGCGCACAAUUAUCGUGGCACUCCGAAGUCAAAUUCCACAUUAAUGUAUUCACACUUAGAAUGUAUGUCUUCAUUGAUUGAAGAUAUACUUCACUUCGUGUGUUGCACAUCUAAGUCAUCAAUAUGCAUAAGGGUUAGGAUGUGUGCCUGAUCACAGGACAUUUGAGGAUUCCAGGAUAUUUAGCUCACACCAGAACUUGCAAAACCUCUUCUCAUCCAAGGGCUUGGUGAAGAUAUCUGCCAAUUGCUCUUCAGUGUUGACGUAUAUGAUAUCAAUGUCUUCCUUCACAACAUGAUCUCUGAGAACGUGAUGACGAAUUUCAAUGUGCUUUCUCUUCGAGUGCUGAACUGGGUUGUUGGCAAUCUUGAUGGCGCUUUCGUUGUCGCAGUAAAGUGGCACUUGCUUCAGAUGAAUGCCAUAGUCCUUGAGUGUUUGCUUCAUCCACAGAAGCUGAGCGCAGCAAGAUCCAGCAGCAAUGUAUUCAGAUUCAGCAGUGGAGAGAGAUACACAGUUCUGCUUCUUUGAAGACCAACAUACAAGUGAUCGUCCCAGAAAGUGACAUGUGCCUGAUGUAGACUUGCGAUCAACUUUGUCACCAGCAUAAUCAGCAUCCUAGAAUCCAACCAAAUCAAACUCUGAGCCCUUUGGAUACCAUAAUCCUAGAGUUGGGGUGUGAGCCAAAUAUCGAAGAAUUCGCUUCACAGCUAAGUCAUGCGACUCCUUUGGUGCCGCUUGAAAUCAAGCACACAUGCAAACACUAAGCAUAAUAUCUGGCCUAGAUGCACAUAAAUAAAGUAAAGAACCAAUCAUGGAGCGGUAUACCUUUUGAUCGAACUCUUUACCAUUGUCGUCAGGACCCAGAUGAUGUUUGGCUGGCAUUGGUGUUGUGAAGCCUUUGCAGUCUUGCAUACCGAACUUCUUCAGGCAAUCUUUGAGAUACUUCUCUUGAGAUAUGAAGAUGCCAUUGCGUUGUUGUCGUAUUUGAAGACCAAGGAAGAACUUAAGCUCCCCCAUCAUGGACAUCUGAUAUUGCUCUUGCAUCAUAUAUCCAAACUCUUCACUGUACUUCUGAUUUGUGCAGCCGAAGAUAAUGUCAUCCACAUAUAUUUGGCACACAAACAGUUCACCAUCAUAUGUCUUCGUGAAAAGAGUGGGAUCCAGGGAACCAGGUAUGAAGCCUUUGCUCUUCAGUAAGUAUUUGAGUGUGUCAUACUAGGCCCUAGGGGCUUGUUUGAGGCCAUACAGUGCCUUGUUGAGCUUGUAUACCAUGUCAGGAUGUUUUGGAUUUUCAAAGCUAGGCGGUUGUGCAACAUACACUUCUUCUUCAAUCUUGCCAUUGAGAAAGGCACUCUUCACAUCCAUUUGAUAUAGAAGUAUGUUAUGAUGAUUUGCAUAGGCCAGCAGUGUGCAUAUGGCUUCAAACCUAGCCACAGGAGCAAAUGUUUCAUCGAAGUCAAUGCCUUCUACUUGAGUAUAUCCUUGAGCAAUGAGACGAGCUUUGUUUCUGACAACUUGACCAUGCUCAUCUUGCUUGUUGCGGUAUAUCCAUUGACGCUUAACCAGUUCCCAUACAUUAUUUAGCUCAAACUAUUGAAGCUCUUCUUGCAUAGCUUGAAUCCAUUCAGGUUCCAUGAAGGCUUCUUCAACUUUCUUGGGUUCUGAUAUUGAGACAAAUGUGAAGUGCCCACGGAAAUUUGCUAGCUGAGUUUCCCUUGAACGAGUGAGUGGACCAGGUGCAUUGAUGCUGUCAAUUAUUCUGUCAAUAUGCACUUCAUUGGCAACACGAGGAUGUACAGGGCGAAGACUUUGCUCUUGCUGAUCUGUGUUGUUGUUGGGAGGAAUGUCUUCAGGCUGAGCAUUGUCUUCAUGUUGAUCAGGUGCUGAGAUGAUAAGUUCUUCUUCAGGAUGAGCUUCAGAAGGUAUAAUCUCUCCAGUUCCCAUUAGCUUGAUUGAUUCACUAGCUGGAAUUUCAUCUAGCACAUUUGGCAGUUGCUCUCUUUGUGAACCAUUUGUCUCAUCGAACCGCACAUCCACAGUUUCAACCACUUUGUAAUGGAAGAGAUUGAAGACUCUGUAGGAGUGCGAAUCCUUUCCAUAUCCAAGCAUAAAACCCUCAUGUGCUUUUGGUGCAAACUUUGAGGUGUGGUGUGGGUCCUUGAUCUAGCACCUUGCGCCAAAUACUCUGAAAUAACUGACAUUUGGCUUCUUGCCAGUUAGGAGUUCAUAAGAUGUCUUGUUCAGAAGCUUGUGAAGAUAAACACGAUUGAUUGUAUGGCAUGCAGUGUCAAUGGCUUCAGUCCAGAAUUUUCUUGGAGUCUUGUAUUCAUCUAGCAUUGUUCUGGCCAUCUCAAUGAGUGUUCUGUUCUUGCGUUCGACGACGCCAUUCUGUUGUGGCGUGUACGGAGCUGAGAAUUCAUGUGUGAUGCCCAAGGUAUCAAGAUAUGUAUCAAGGCCAGUGUUCUUGAAUUCAGUGCCAUUGUCACUUCUGAUGUGCUUUAUCUUGGCGCCAUAAUUGUUCAUGGCUCGAUUGGCGAAGCGUCUGAAGACAUCCUGCACUUCGGUCUUGUAAAGGAUUAUGUGCACCCAAGUAUAUCUAGAGUAAUCAUCAACAAUGACAAAGCCAUAGAGGCAAGCAGUAGUGGUAAAAGUUGAGUAGUGAGUGGGACCAAAAAGAUCCAUGUGAAGCAGUUCGAAGGGUCGAGUAGUGAUCAUGAUUGUUUUCGAGGGAUGUUUUGCCCUCGUCAUCUUCCCUGCUUCACAGGCACCACAUAAGUGAUCUUUCUUGAACUUGACGCCCUCGAUGCCUAUGACAUGCUUCUUCUUCGCAAGGGUGUGGAGGUUCCUCAUGCCAGCAUGCCCAAGCCUCUGAUGCCAAAGCCAGCAUUCUAAAGCUUUUGCAAGAAGACAUACUGCAAGUUGUGGCCCUGCUGAGAAAUCUACCACAUACAAAUCAUCUUUCCGAUACCCUUCAAACACUAGAGACUUGUCAGAUUCCAUUAGUACCAGGCAACGAUAUUUUCCAAAUAUUACGACCAUGUUCAAAUCGCAAAGCAUUGAAACACACAUUAAGUUGAAACCAAGGGAUUCAACAAGCAUGACUUUAUCCAUGUGUUGAUCCUUUGAGAUUGCAACUCUACCUAGACCCAAUACCUUACUUUUACCAGUGUCAGCAAAUGUGAUGUGACUCUUGUCGGAUGGACGUAAGGUUGAGUCCAUAAGGAGGCUUCUUUUGCCAGUCAUGUGAUUUGUACACCCACUGUCAAUAAUCCAUUCUGAAGACUUUGAAGACGCUGGUGUCGUACCCUACAGUGGAGUUAGGGGGAUAGGCUUCAAGAAGAGAAUUGUGAAGCAAAAACAUUUGACGAACCAGUGGGUUAUGAAAACUUAGAUCCAGAUUAGGACUAAUAGUGAGAGUAGCAUGCGAUUCAGGAACGAAGUACAUAAUGAUGCCAUUCGGGCAUUUUAUCUUGCGCCCUACAAGAUUUUUAAGGUCCCCAGCAAAAGCGUCAGAAGAUUUUGUUUUUCUGCUGGAGACCUUUCCCUGCAAAAGAGAGUUAAGCUUUCUUAACCACCCACAUCUUCAAGGGUGGCUUAAAAGCAAUAAGUCUAAGUGCAGCAUUUGAGAAUUUUGGUUUUGGAGCCCUAGCAAACAGUCUAGCAGGCGGACAAUAGUACUCAUAAGAAUAAGCAGAAUAAUUUUUGGUCAUAUGAUCAUGACGGUUUGAUGAACCGCUCUCAUAUUCAUAUGUCUGAGUAUGGUUUCCCUGCAAAACAUUUGCGUUAGUGUGACUCAGGUGAGUCCUCUGUCUGUAUGAAGCCUUUAGACCGUAUGAAGCCUUUGGUCUGAGGUUUGUCUUCUUCAUGUGAGGUGUCAUGAAGACAUUCACAGGAAGAUUUUCCAGACACUUUUUCGGAACCCAGAUCUUCUUCAUAGGCGGUCCAUUCCUGCAGUUAGUACCAAUGUACCUGGCAAACACUACACCAUUCUGAUUUUUAAAUAGUACAUAGUUUACAUCAAAGGAUUCAUCAAUGAUAAUGGGGUUAGCACAGGUGAAGCCUGAUAAAUUGGAUAGAUCUGCUGAAGGUUCCUUUGCAGCAACCCACUUGGUUUUGGGGUACUGCUCAGGUUUCCAGUAAGAGCCAUCUGCAUUUAUUUUCCUUAUGAACCCUAUACCCUCUUUCCUAGGGUUUCGGUUCAGAAUCUUCUUUUUCAGGACAUCACAUAGCGUCUGAUGCCCUUUAAGGCUUUUGUACAUCCCUGUUUCAAGCAAUGUCUUCAACCUAGCAUUCUCAUCAGCAAUAGCAGUGGUAUCCUCAGCAGAGGGGUUAGUUACCACAUCAACAGUUGAAGAUAUUGCAACAGCAAUAGCAGUGGAACAUUCAGCAACAGAAGUAGCAUUAUCACGCUCAAUGCAUUUCAGACAUGGUGGUUCAAAUCCUUCCUGAGCGGAACUGAUCUGUUCGACGCGAAGUGACUCGUUUUCCUUUUGAAGAUCUUCAUGAGCCGCUCUCAAUUUCUCAAGUUCUUGCUUCCUUUGAAGAUAAUCAUAGGAAAGCUUUUCAUGAGUUGUUGAGAGAGUAUCAUGACGAUCUUCAAGUUCCUGAUACUUAACAUGAAGGUUUUUUAUGUCUUUAAUUAAGGAUUCAGAUCGAGUCAUUUCAGCACCCAACAGAUCAUUGCUUCUGUCUAACAGUUUUUGAAUAUGUUCCAUGGCUUUCUGUUGUUCAGUUGCAAUUUUAGCAAGUGUUUUGUAACUGGGUUUUGAAUCACAAUCAGAGUCAUCGUCACUAGAUGUUUGACAGUGAGUAGUGCGUUUGUUUACCUUGGCACCACGUGCCAUGAAGCAGUAGGUAGGAGUGGAGUAGUCCUUGUCAUUUGCAUCGGUGUCGGUGAUGAAGUCAUUGUCUUCAGUGUUGAAGAUGGACUUGGCGACGUAUGAUGUAGCCAGACUUGCAAUGCCAGAAUCAGACUCCUCCUCAGACUCCACCUCUGCCUCCUCAGAAGCGGACUCCUCCUCUGAAUCCAUUUCCUUGCCAAAAAACGCACGUGCCUUGCCAGAUGAGCUCUUCUUGUGUGAUGAAGACUUUGAGGAAGACUUGGAAGAAGACUUUGUGUAUUUCUUCUUCUUCUUGUCGUCAGAGUCAUAUUCCUUGCUCUUCUUCUUCUUUCUGUUCUCAUUGUCCCACUAUGGACACUCAGAGAUGAAGUGUCCAGUUUUCUUGCACUUGUGGCAUGUUUUCUUCUUGUAGUCAUGAGAAGAAGCUUCAUCAUUCCUUGAGCUUGAUCGUGAAGACUUUCUGAAGCCUUUCUUCUUGGUGAAUUUUUGGAACUUCUUCACUAGCAUUGCAAGUUCCCUUCCAAUGUCUUCAGGAUCAUCAGAACUGCUGUCAGAUUCUUCUUUAGAUGAGGAAACAGCUUUUGCCUUCAAGGCACGAGUUCACCCAUAGUUUGGACCGUAGAUAUCUCUUUUCUCAGAAAGCUGCAACUCAAGUGUGUUGAGCCUCUCAAGUAUGUCAGAUGGAUCGAGUGUCUUGAAAUUAGGAUGUUCUUGAAUCAUCAGGGCUAGGAUGUCAAACGAACUAUCAAGUGAUCUCAGCAGCAUCUUGACGACUUCAUGUUUGGUGAUCUCAGUAGCACCGAGGGCUUGAAGCUCAUUUGUGAUGUUAGUGAGUCUGUCAAAUGUGUGUUGGACAUUCUCAUUGUCAUUUCGCUUGAAGCGGUUGAAGAGAUUGCGAAGGACACUGAUUCUUUGAUCUCUCUGGGUUGAGAUGCCUUCAUUGACCUUGGAGAGCCAGUCCCAGACCAGCUUGGAUGUCUUCAAAGCACUCACAUGGCCAUACUAUCCUUUGGUUAGAUGACCACAGAUGAUGUUCUUGGCAGUAGAGUCCAGUUGAACGACUUUCUUGACAUCAGCAACAGUGACACCUUCUCCAGCCUUGGGAACGCCGUUCUCGACGACAUACCAUAGGUCGACGUCAAUGGCUUCAAGAUGCAUACGCAUCUUAUUCUUCUAGUAGGGAUAUUCAGUUCCAUCGAAGACGGGGAACGCAGCGGAGACUUUAAUUAUCCCUGCAGUCGACAUAGCUAAAACUCCAGGUGGUUAAACCGAAUCACACAGAACAAGGGAGCACCUUGCUCUGAUACCAAUUGAAAGUGCGUUAUAUCGACUAGAGGGGGGGUGAAUAGGCGAUUUUUAUGAAAGUCUUCAAAACGUGGAAGUUAUGAAGAUAAACAAUAGAGAUAUGCCUAUCACUAUGUAGCAGAAGUUAGAUUACACUAGGCAAGCCAUGGUCAAGUAUUCAAUAGAGUGAAAGCACAAUGACAAGUAGCAGCAGUGUAAUAAGGAUCAGGUAGGAAGAAGUUAUGAAGCCAAACAAAUCAUACAGUUAUGUUGUGAAGACAAAAGAUAUAGCAAGCAUGCAAUGGCUUCACAAUGAGUAACAGUAAGUAAAAGGAAGUGAAGAUGAAACCAGUGACUCGUUGAAGACAAUGAUGUGUUGGACCGGUUCCAGUUGUUGUGACAACUGUACGUCUGGUUGGAGCGGCUAGGUAUUUAAACCUUAGGACACACAGUCUCGGACACCCAGUCCUGAACACGCAGCUCAGGACACCAAGUCCUCACCGUAUUCUCCUUGAGCUAAGGUCACAUAGUCCUCGCCCAAUCACUCAGGUAAGUCUUCAAGGUAGACUCCCAAACCUUCACAGACUUCGUUCACUGGCAAUCCACAAUGUCUCUUGGAUGCUCAGAACGCGACGCCUAACCGUCUGGAGGAUGCACAGUCCUCAAGUGUAAUAAGUCUUCAGAUCACUCAGACAAGAAGACUUAAGUGAUGCCCAAUUUACUCUGGCUCUGGGUGGUUAGGGCUUUCUCCUCGCUAGGAAUUUUCUCUCAAAGGCUUCGAGGUGGGUUGCUCUCAAACGACAAAAGCCGUGCACUGAAAUCUAAGCAGCCAACCGCUUAUGGUUGUAGGGGGUGGGCUAUUUAUAGCCACUUGGCAACCCGACCUGAUUUGUCCAAAAUGACCCUGGGUCACUAAGGAACUGACACGUGUCCCAACGGUCAGUUUUCAAACUUACAUGGCAACUUUACUUGGGCUACAAGCAAAGCUGACUUGUCCGGCUCUCGACAAGAUUCGCUCUCAUUGUCUUCACUCGAAGACAUAGGUUUUUUUUUGGUUUAGGCAUCACUUCAGUCAUUCUGACUGGUUCUCCUGGACCCCACUUAACAGUACGGUGGUUCCUAUGACUCAACACAAAAGAAAAAGAACUAUGAAAGAUCUAAGUCUUCGAGCUCCAUAGGCUUCAUAUCGUGUCUUCUUUUGUCAUAGUCUUCAAUGUGAAUAUCUUCAUAUACCACCUUUGACUUCAGUGUCUUCAUACAUUUUUAGGGGUCAUCUCUGGUAGUAAAACCGAAUCAAUGAGGGACUUCUACCUAUGUUAUCCUGUAAUUCUCACAAACACAUUAGUCCCUCAACUAGGUUUGUCGUCAAUACUCCAAAACCAACUAGGGGUGGCACUAGAUGCACUUACAAUCUCCCCCUUUUUGGUGAUUGAUGACAAACUAGUUGAAAUUUUCAACGGGGAAUAUAGUCUGUGAAGUUGUAAAGGAUAAGGAAUUGUCUUCAUAAGUUGCAAGGGCCUGAAUGUUCUGUGCUACCCUGUGGGCCUACUGGGCCUUUGCGGGCCUGCAUCCUGGCCCAACAACAGGUUGGGUUUCUAGUCGUAUGCAGGCCGCUGUGGCGCAGUAGGUGGGAUUUUUUUCUUAUUUUUUUGCUUUAUUUAUUUUUGUUUUAUUUAUUUUUGAGUUGUUUUUUGCUGUAUUUAGAGUUUCUUUGUGAAUAUUUUUGAUUUAGGUACAAAAAAUUACUAACUUUAUGUUAGUACCGCUAGUUUACAAAUUUGAAUAGUUUAAAUUUUGAAUUAUUUAAAAUUUGUGUGAAUCACUAGUUUGUGAAUAACUUAACUUUGAAAAUAGAUUUUUCAGUGAUUCUUUUUUCUUAUGUUUAAUAUUAGUGUGUUUUAUCAUUAUAUUCAAUUUGGUAAUGCUUAGGUUAUUUAAAAAAUGAAAUUCCUUUGUAACGGAUGAGUUUUCGUCCGAAACCCUGAUACUUCGAAAGAGAUUGUCCAUUUUGUAUACGAAGUGCAUCCAGCUUUUGCGGUAACCCUCUCUACUUUUUUGCACAUGCUAUGUGGGUGAAAUUAUGAUACCAUGCCAACUUUCAACCUUUUCUGAGUUCAUUUGAAAUGCUUUUCAAUUUCAGGGUCAUUUAGCUGGAAAAAAUCAGUAAAUGCAUCAAAGAAUUUGCUUGCACAUAAAAUUUCUUCGCGUUUCAAAUGCCAAAACACAUAACUAGCUACCCUAACUAUUACAGAGAAUCCCUCCUAGGUGUGAAACACAGAAGAAAGUGAUGAUAGUGAAGCCGAUCACAUCCCAGACCUUUGGGUGUGAAACUUUUUCUUCGCGUGUGUCCCUUUGCGCCGUAGCCAUGGAAAAUCUUCAUCAUUUAACUGGAUGCUCGGGUCAAUAUUCACUGUGAAUGGAGCAAUUUCAUCAAACUUUUCAUAAUCUCCUGACAUGUCUGUCUUGUCAUCCACUCCCAUGAUGUUUCUCUUCCCAGAAAGAACUAUGUGCCGCUUUGGCUCAUUGUACGAUGCAUUCGCUUCCUUAUCUUUUCUUUUUCUCGGCUUGGUAGACAUGUCCUUCACAUAGAAAACAUGUGCCACAUCAUUGGCUAGGACGAAUGGUUCGUCUACAUACGCAAAAUUGUUGAGAUCCACUGUUGUCAUUCCGUACUGCGGGUCUUCCGUUACCCCGCCUCGUGUCAUAUUGACCCAUUUGCACCGAAACAAAGGGACCUUCAAACCACGUCGAUAGUCAAGUUCCCAUAUGUCCUGUAUAUAACCAUAAUAUGUUCCCUUUCCUGUCUUGGUUUCUGCAUCAAAGCAGACACCACUGUUUUGGUUGGUGUUCUUCUUAUCUUGGGCGAUCGUGUAAAAUGUAUUACCAUUUAUCUCGUACCCUUUGAAAGUCAUUAUAUUCGAAGAUGGUAACUGGGAUAGCAAGUACAGGUCAUCUUCAAUAGAGGCGUCAUGCAUGGUACGUGUCUGCAACCAGCUGGCGAAACUCCUGGUUUGUUCACGUGUAAUCCAGUGAUCAGACCGCUCUGAGUGUUUGGAGCGUAGAAAAUUCUUGUGUUCAUCCAUAUACGGAGCCACCAAGGCGGAAUUCUGUAGAAUUGUGUAGUGUGCUUAAGUGAGAGAAUGUCCAUCCAUACAUAUUAUUUGUUCCCCUCCUAGCGUGCCUUUUCCAUCCAGUCUGCCCUUAUGCCGCGAUUCAGGAACACCAAUCGGCUUAAGGUCAGGAAUAAAGUCAAUACAAAACUCAAUGACCUCCUCAUUUUCAUGGCCCUUGGAGAUGCUUCCUUCUGGCCUAGCACGGUUAUGAACAUAUUUCUUUAAGAGUCCCAUGAACCUCUCAAAGGGGAACAUAUUGUGUAGAAAUACAGGACCCAAAACGUUAAUCUCUUCACAUAGGUGAACUAGGAUGUGCGUCAUGAUGUUGAAGAAGGAUGGUGGGAACACCAACUCGAAACUGACAAGACAUUGCACCAAAUCAUUCUCUAACCUUGCUAUGAUUUAUGGAUCGAUUACCUUUUGAGAGAUUGCAUUGAGGAAUGCACAUAGCUUCACAAUGGCUAAUCGAACGUUUUCCGGUAGAAGCCCCCUCAAUGCAACUGGAAGCAGUUGUGUCAUAAUCAUGUGGCAGUCAUGAGACUUUAGGUUCUGGAACUUUUUCUCUGCCAUGUUUAUUAUUCCCUUUAUAUUCGACGAGAAGCCAGACGGUACCUUAAUACUGAGCAGGCAUUCAAAGAAGAUUCCUUCUCUUCUUUGGUAAGAGCGUAGCUUGCAUGACCCUGAUGUAUGCCGUCUUUUCCGUGCAUACGUUGCUAGUCCUCCCGUGCCUCAGGUGUAUCUUUUGUCUUCCCAUACACGCCCAAGAAGCCAAGCAGGGUCACACAAAGAUUCUUCGUCACGUGCAUCACGUCGAUUGCGGAGCGAAACUCUAGGUCUUUCCAAUAGGGCAGGUCCCAAAAUAUAGAUUUCUUCUUCCACAUGGGUGCGCGUACGUCAGCGUCAUUCGGAACAGGUUGUCCACCAGGACCCUUUCCAAAGACCACCUUCAAAUCCUUGACCAUAUCAUGUACAUCAGCACCAGUACAGUGGCGAGGCUUCGUCCGAUGAUCCGCCUCACCUUUGAAAUUCUUGCCUUUCUUUCUUACAGGAUGCCUGCUCGGAAGAAAUCGACGAUGUUGGGGAACGUUGCAGAAAACAAAAAAUUUCCUACGGUUUCACCAAGAUCCAUCUAGGAGUUCAUCUAGCAACGAGUGAUUAGAUGCAUCUACGUACCUUGUAGAUCGCGAGCGGAAGCGUUCAAAGAACGGGGAUGAGGGAGUCGUACUCGUUGUGAUUCGAAUCACCGAAGAUCCUAGCACCGAACGGACGGCACCUCCACGUUCAACACACGUACGUAACAGCCACGUCUCCUCCUUCUUUAUCCAGCAAGGGGGAAGGAGAGGUUGAGGGAGAUGGCUCUAGCAGCAGCACGACGGCGUGGUGAUGAUGGAGCUGCAGUACUCCGGCAGGGCUUCGCCAAGCACUAUGGAGGAGGAGGAGGAGUUGGAGAGGGAGAGGGAGGCACCAAAGAUCAAGGUAAGAAGUCCUCCAUCUCCCCACUAUAUAUAGGAGGGCCAAGGGGGGGGGGGCGCUGGCCCUAGGAGAUCUAAUCUCCUAGGGGGGUGCGGCCAAGGGGAGGAAUCCCUCCUCCCCAAGGCACCUAGGAGGUGCCUUCCCCUCCUAGGACUCUUCCCUCCUUGAAACCCUAGGCGCAUGGGCCUCUUAGGGCUGAUGCCCUUGGCCCAUGUAGGCCAAGGCGGACCCCCUACAGCCCAUGUGCCCCCCCAGGACAGGUGGCCCCACCCGGUGGACCCCCGGGACCCUUCCGGUGGUCCCGGUACAAUACCGGUGACCCCGAAACUUGUCCCGAUGCCCGAAAUAGCACUUCCUAUAUAUAAUUCUUUACCUCCGGACCAUUCCGGAACUCCUCGUGACGUCCGGGAUCUCAUCCGGGACUCCGAACAACAUUCAGGUUACCGCAUAUACAUAUCCCUACAACCCUAGCGUCACCGAACCUUAAGUGUGUAGACCCUACGGGUUCGGGAGACAUGUAGACAUGACCGAGAUCGCUCUCUGUCCAAUAACCAACAGCGGGAUCUGGAUACCCAUGUUGGCUCCCACAUGCUCCUUGAUGAUCUCAUUGGAUGAACAACGAUGUCGAGGAUUCAAGCAACGUAUACAAUUCCCUUUGUCAAUCGGUAUGUUACUUGCCCGAGAUCCGAUCGUCGGUAUCCCAAUACCUCGUUCAAUCUCGUUACCGGCAAGUCACUUUACUCGUGUCGUAAUGCAUGAUCCCGUGACUAGACUUGGUCACUUUGAGCUCAUAAUGAUGAUGCAUUACCGAGUGGGCCCAGUGAUACCUCUCCGUCAUACGGAGUGACAAAUCCCAGUCUUGAUCCGUGUCAACCCAACAGACACUUUCGGAGAUACCCGUAGUAUACCUUUAUAGUCACCCAGUUACGUUGUGAUGUUUGGCACACCCAAAGCACUCCUACGGUAUCGGGAGUUACACGAUCUCAUGGUCUAAGGAAAAGAUACUUGACAUUGGAAAACUCUAGCAAACGAACUACACGACCUUGUGCUAUGUUUAGGAUUGGGUCUUGUCCAUCACAUCAUUCUCCUAAUGAUGUGAUCUCGUUAUCAAUGACAUCCAAUGUCCAUAGUCAGGAAACCAUGACUAUCUGUUGAUCAAUGAGCUAGUCAACUAGAGGCUUACUAGGGACAUGUUGGUGUCUAUUAUUCACACAUGUAUUACGAUUUCCGGAUAACACAAUUAUAGCAUGAAUAAAGACAAUUAUCAUGAACAAGGAAAUAUAAUAAUAAUGCUUUUAUUAUUGCCUCUAGGGCAUAUUUCCAACAGUCUCCCACUUGCACUAGAGUCAAUAAUCUAGUUACAUUGUGAUGAAUCGAACACCCAUGGAAUUCUGGUGUUGAUCAUGUUUUGCUCUAGGGAGAGGUUUAGUCAACGGAUCUGCUACAUUCAGGUCCGUAUGUACUUUACAAAUAUCUAUGUCUCCAUCUUGAAUAUUUUCACGAAUGGAGUUGAAGCGACGCUUGAUGUGCCUUGUCUUCUUGUGAAACCUAGGCUCCUUGGCAAGUGCAAUAGCUCCAGUGUUGUCACAGAAGAGCUUGAUCGGCCCCGAUGCAUUGGGUAUGACUCCUAGGUCGGUGAUGAACUCCUUCACCCAAAUUGCUUCAUGCGCUGCCUCCGAGGCUGCCAUGUAUUCCGCUUCACAUGUAGAUCCCGCCACGACGCUCUGCUUGCAACUGCACCAGCUUACUGCCCCACCAUUCAAAAUAUACACGUAUCCGGUUUGUGACUUAGAGUCAUCCAGAUCUGUGUCGAAGCUAGUGUCGACGUAACCCUUUACGAUGAGCUCUUCGUCACCUCCAUAGACGAGAAACAUUUCCUUAGUCCUUUUCAGGUACUUCAGGAUAUUCUUGACCGCUGUCCAGUGUUCCUUGCCGGGAUUACUUUGGUACCUUCCUACCAAACUUACGGCAAGGUUUACAUCAGGUCUGGUACACAGCAUGGCAUACAUAAUAGACAUAUGGCUGAGGCAUAGGGGAUGACACUCAUCUCUUCUAUAUCUUCUGCCGUGGUCGGACAUUGAGCUGAGCUCAAUUUCAUACCUUGUAACACAGGCAAGAACCCCUUCUUAGACUGAUCCAUAUUGAACUUCUUCAAUAUCUUAUCAAGGUAUGUGCUUUGUGAAAGACCUAUGAGGUGUCUUGAUCUAUCUCUGUAGAUCUUGAUGCCUAAUAUAUAAGCAGCUUCUCCAAGGUCCUUCAUUGAAAAACUUUUAUUCAAGUAGGCCUUAAUGUUGUCCAAGAGUUCUAUAUCAUUUCCCAUCAAAAGUAUGUCAUCUACAUAUAAUAUGAGAAAUGCUACAGAGCUCCCACUCACUUUCUUGUAAAUGCAGGCUUCUCCAUAAGUCUGUGUAAACCCAAACGCUUUGAUCAUCUCAUCAAAGCGAAUGUUCCAACUCCGAGAUGCUUGCACCAGCCCAUAAAUCGAGCGUUGGAGCUUGCACACCUUGUCAGCAUUCUUAGGAUCGACAAAACCUUCCGGCUGCAUCAUAUACAAUUCUUCCUUAAGGAAACCAUUAAGGAAUGCCGUUUUGACGUCCAUUUGCCAUAUCUCAUAAUCAUAGAAUGCGGCAAUCGCUAACAUGAUUCGGACGGACUUCAGCUUCGCUACCGGUGAGAAAGUCUCAUCGUAGUCAACCCCUUGAACUUGUCGAUAACCCUUAGCAACAAGCCGAGCUUUAUAGAUGGUCACAUUACCAUCCGCAUCUGUCUUCUUCUUAAAGAUCCAUUUAUUUUCUAUGACUCGCCGCUCAACAGGCAAGUCAGUCAAAGUCCAUACUUCGUUUUCAUACAUGGAUCCUAUCUCGGAUUUCAUGGCUUCUAGCCAUUUGUCGGAAUCCGGGCCCGCCAUUGCUUCUUCAUAGUUCGAAGGUUCACCGUUGUCUAACAACAUGAUUUCCAAGACAGGGUUGCCGUACCACUCUGGUGCGGAACGUGUCCUUGUGGACCUUCGAAUUUCAGUUGGAGCUUGAUCAGAAGUAUCUUGAUCAUCAUCAUUGACUUCCUCUCUUGUCGGUGCAGGCACCUCAGAAACAUUUUCUUGAGUUGCGCCAUUUUCCGGUUCAAGAGGUAAUACUUCAUCAAGUUCUACUUUCCUCCCACUUACUUCUUUCGAGAGAAACUCUUUCUCUAGAAAGGACCCAUUCUUGUCAACAAAGAUCUUGCCUUCGGAUCUGAGGUAGAAGGUAUACCCAACAGUUUCUUUAGGGUAUCCUAUGAAGAUGCAUUUUUCCGAUUUGGGUUCGAGCUUUUCAGGUUGAAGUUUCCUGACAUAAGCAUCGCAUCCCCAAACUUUUAGAAACGACAACUUAGGUUUCUUCCCAAACCAUAAUUCAAACGGUGUCAUCUCAACGGAUUUCGACAGAGCCCUAUUUAAAGUGAAUGCGGCAGUCUCUAAAGCAUAGCCCCAAAAGAUAGCGGUAAAUCGGUAAGAGACAUCAUAGAUCGCACCAUAUCUAAUAGAGUGCGAUUACGAUGUUCGGACACACCAUUACGCUGAGGUGUUCCAGGCGGCAUUAGUUGUGAAACUAUUCCACAUUUUCUUAAGUGUGUGCCAAACUCGUGACUCAAGUAUUCUCCUCCACGAUCUGAUCGCGGGAACUUGAUUUUCCUGUCACGUUGAUUCUCAACCUCACUCUGAAAUUCCUUGAACUUUUCAAAGGUCUCAGACUUGUGUUUCAUUAAGUAGACAUACCCAUAUUUACUUAAGUCAUCAGUGAGGGUGAGAACAUAAUGAUAGCCACCGCGAGCCUCAACACUCAUUGGACCGCACACAUCAGUAUGUAUGAUUUCCAAUAAGUUGGUUGCUCGCUCCAUUGUUCCUGAGAACGGAGUCUUGGUCAUUUUACCCAUGAGGCAUGGUUCACACGUGUCAAAUGAUUCGUAAUCAAGAGACUCUAAAAGUCCAUCAGCAUGGAGCUUCUUCAUGCGUUUGACACCUAUGUGACCAAGGCGGCAGUGCCACAAGUAUGUGGGACUAUCAUUAUCAACCUUACUUCUUUUGGUACUCACACUAUGAAUAUGUGUAGCAUUACGCUCGAGAUUCAUUAAGAAUAAACCAUUCACCAUCGGAGCAUGACCAUAAAACAUAUCUCUCAUAUAAAUAGAACAACCAUUAUUCUCGGAUUUAAAUGAGUAGCCAUCUCAUAUUAAACGAGAUCCUGAUACAAUGUUCAUGCUCAAACUUGGCACUAAAUAACAAUUAUUGAGGUUUAAAACUAAUCCCGUAGGUAAAUGUAGAGGUAGCGUGCCGACGGCGAUCACAUCGACCUUGGAACCAUUCCCGACGCGCAUCGUCACCUCGUCCUUCGCCAGUCUCCGCUUAUUCCGUAGCUCCUGCUUUGAGUUACAAAUGUGAGCAACCGCACCGGUAUCAAAUACCCAGGAGCUACUACGAGUACUGGUAAGGUACACAUCAAUUACAUGUAUAUCACAUAUACCUUUCGUUUUGCCGGCCUUCUUGUCCGCUAAGUAUUUGGGGCAGUUCCGCUUAAAGUGACCACUUUCCUUGCAAUAAAAGCACUCAGUCUCGGGCUUGGGUCCAUUCUUUGGCUUCUUCCCGGCAGCUUGCUUGCCGGGCGCGGCAACUCCCUUGCCGUCCUUCUUGAAGGCUUUCUUACCCUUGCCCUUCUUGAACUUAGUGGUUUUAUUCACCAUCAACACUUGAUGUUCCUUUUUGACUUCUACCUCUGCUGAUUUCAGCAUUGCAAAUACUUCAGGAAUGGUCUUUUCCAUCCCCUGCAUAUUGAAGUUCAUCACAAAGCUCUUGUAGCUCGGUGGAAGCGACUGAAGGAUUCUGUCAAUGACCGUGUCAUCCGGGAGAUUAACUCCCAGCUGAGUCAAGCGGUUAUGUAACCCAGACAUUGUGAGUAUGCGCUCACUAACAGAACUAUUUUCCUCCAUCUUACAGCUGAAGAAUUUGUUGGAGACUUCAUAUCUCUCAACCCGGACAUGAGCUUGGAAAACCAUUUUCAGCUCUUCGAACAUCUCAUAUGCUCCGUGUCUCUCAAAACGCUUUUGGAGUCCCGGCUCUAAGUUGUAAAGCAUGCCGCACUGAAGAGGGAGUAGUCAUCGGUACGUGUCUGCCAAGCGUUCAUAACUUCUUGUUCUACAGGGAGAAUAGGUGCGUCACCCAGCGGUGCUUGUAGGACAUAAUCUUUCUUGGCAGCUAUGAGGAUGAUCCUCAGGUUCCGGACCCAGUCCGUGUAGUUGCUGCCAUCGUCUUUCAGCUUGGUUUUCUCUAGGAACGCGUUGAAGUUGAGGACUACAUUGGCCAUUUGAUCUACAAGACAUAUUGUAAAAAAUUUAGACUAAGUUCAUGAUAAUUAAGUUCAUCUAAUCAAAUUAUUCAAUGAACUCCCACUUAGAUAGACAUCCCUCCAGUCAUCUAAGUAUAACAUGAUCCGAGUUAACUAGGCCGUGUCCGAUCAUCACGUGAGACGGACUAGUCAACAUCGGUGAACAUCUUCAUGUUGAUCGUAUCUUCUAUACGACUCAUGCUCGACCUUUCGGUCUUCUGUGUUCCGAGGCCAUGUCUGUACACAUGCUAGGCUCGUCAAGUCAACCUAAGUGUUUUGCAUGUGUAAAUCUGUCUUACACCCGUUGUAUGUGAACGUUAGAAUCUAUCACACCCGAUCAUCACGUGGUGCUUCGAAACAACGAACUGUCGCAACGGUGCACAGUUAGGGGGGAACACUUUCUCGAAAUUAUUAUGAGGGAUCAUCUUAUUUACUACCAUCGUUCUAAGUAAACAAGAUGAAAAACAUGAUAAACAUCACAUGCAAUCAAAUAAUAACAGUGACAUGAUAUGGCCAAUAUCACAUAGCUCCUUUGAUCUCCAUCUUGGGGCUCCAUGAUCAUCUUGUCACCGGCAUGACACCAUGAUCUCCAUCAUCAUGAUCUCCAUCAUCGUGUCUCCAUGAAGUUGCUCGCCAACUAUUACUUCUACUACUAUGUCUAACGCGUUUAGCAAUAAAGUAAAGUAAUUUACAUGGCGUUUCUCAAUGACACGUAGAUCAUAUAAAAAAAAUAGACAACUCCUAUCGCUCCUGCCGGUUGUCAUACUCAUCGACAUGCAAGUCAUGAUUCCUAUUACAAUAGCAUGAACAUCUCAUACAUCACAUAUAGAUCAUUCAUCAUUCAUCACAACUUUGGCCAUAUCAUAUCACAAAGCACUUGCUGCAAAAACAAGUUAGACGUCCUCUAAUUGUUGUUGCAAGUUUUACGUGGCUGAAGUAGGGUUCUAGCAAGAACGUUUUCUUACCUACAUGAAAGCCACAACGUGAUUUGUCAACUUCUAUUUACCCUUCAUAAGGACCCUUUUCAUCGAAUCCGCUCCAACUAAAGUAGGAGAGACAGACACCCGCCAGCCACCUUAUGCAACUUGUGCAUGUUAGUCGGUGGAACCGGUCUCACGUAAGCGUACGUGUAAGGUUGGUCCGGGUCGCUUCAUCCCACAAUACCGUUGAAGCAAGAUAAGACUAGUAGCGGCAAGAAAGUUGACAACAUCAACACCCACAACAAAUUGUGUUCUACUCGUGCAAGAGAACUACGCAUAGACCUAGCUCAUGAUGCCACUGUUGGGGAACGUUGCAGAAAACAAAAAUUUUCCUACGGUUUCACCAAGAUCCAUCUAGGAGUUCAUCUAGCAAUGAGUGAUUAGAUGCAUCUACGUACCUUGUAGAUCGCGAGCGGAAGCGUUCAAAGAACGGGGAUGAGGGAGUCGUACUCGUCGUGAUUCGAAUCACCGAAGAUCCUAGCACCGAACGAAUGGCACAUCCGCGUUCAACACACGUACGGAACAGCCACGUCUCCUCCUUCUUGAUCCAGCAAGGGGGAAGGAGAGGUUGAGGGAGAUGGCUCCAGCAGCAGCACGACGGCGUGGUGAUGAUGGAGCUGCAGUACUCCGGCAGGGCUUCGCCAAGCACUAUGGAGGAGGAAGGGGAGUUGGAGAGGGAGAGGGAGGCACCAAAGAUCAAGGUAAGAAGUCCUCCAUCUCCCCACUAUAUAUAGGAGGGCCAAGGGGGGGCGCCGUCCCUAGGAGAUCUAAUCUCCUAGGGGGGUGCGGCCAAGGGGAGGAAUCCCUCCUACCCAAGGCACCUAGGAGGUGCCUUCCCCUCCUAGGACUCUUCCCUCCUUGAAACCCUAGGUGCAUGGGCCUCUUAGGGCUGAUGCCCUUGGCCCAUGUAGGCCAAGGCGCACCCCCUACAGCCCAUGUGGCCCCCUGGGACAGGUGGCCCCACCCGGUGGACCCCCGGGACCCUUCCGGUGGUCCCGGUACAAUACCGGUGACCCCGAAACUUGUCCUGAUGCCCGAAAUAGCACUUCCUAUAUAUAAUUCUUUACCUCCGGACCAUUCCGGAACUCCUCGUGACGUCCGGGAUCUCAUCCGGGACUCCGAACAACAUUCAGGUUACUGCAUAUACAUAUCCCUACAACCCUAGCAUCACCGAACCUUAAGUGUGUAGACCCUACGGGUUCGGGAGACAUGUAGACAUGACCGAGAUCGCUCUCCGGCCAAUAACCAACAGCGGGAUCUGGAUACCCAUGUUGGCUCCCACAUGCUCCUCGAUGAUCUCAUCGGAUGAACCACGAUGUCGAGGAUUCAAGCAACCCCGUAUACAAUUCCCUUUGUCAAUCGGUAUGUUACUUGCCCGAGAUCCGAUCGUCGGUAUCCCAAUACCUCGUUCAAUCUCGUUAUCGGAAAGUCACUUCACUCGUGCCGUAAUGCAUGAUCCCGUGACCAGACACUUGGUCACUUUGAGCUCAUAAUGAUGAUGCAUUACCGAGUGGGCCCAGUGAUACCUCUCCGUCAUACGGAGUGACAAAUCCCAGUCUUGAUCCGUGUCAACCCAACAAACACUUUCGGAGAUACCCGUAGUAUACCUUUAUAGUCACCCAGUUACGUUGUGACGUUUGGCACACCCAAAGCACUCCUACGGUAUCCGGGAGUUACACGAUCUCAUGGUCUAAGGAAAAGAUACUUGACAUUGGAAAACUCUAGCAAACGAACUACACGACCUUGUGCUAUGUUUAGGAUUGGGUCUUGUCCAUCACAUCAUUCUCCUAAUGAUGUGAUCUCAUUAUCAAUGACAUCCAAUGUCCAUAAUCAGGAAACCAUGACUAUCUGUUGAUCAACGAGCUAGUCAACUAGAGGCUUACUAGGGACAUGUUGGUGUCUAUUAUUCACACAUGUAUUACGAUUUUCGGAUAACACAAUUAUAGCAUGAAUAAAGACAAUUAUCAUGAACAAGGAAAUAUAAUAAUAAUGCUUUUAUUAUUGCCUCUAGGGCAUAUUUCCAACAGACGAUGUCCCAGGUACACAUUCUUCUUACAAUUAGCCAAAUAUAUACUGUCGGUAUCGUCCAAACAGUGUGUGCAUGCGCGGUAUCCCUUGUUUGUCUGUCCUGAAAGGUUACUGAGAGCAGGCCAAUCAUUAAUGGUCACGAACAGCAACGCCUUUAGGUCAAAUUCUUCCCCCAUGUGCUCAUCCCACGCAUGUACACCUGUUCCAUUCCACAGUUGUAAGAGUUCUUCAACUAAUGGCCUUAGGUACACAUCAAUGUCGUUGCCGGGUUGCUUAUGGCCUUGGAUGAGCACUGGCAUCAUAAUGAACUUACGCUUCAUGCACAACCAAGGAGGAAGGUUAUACAAACAUAGAGUCACAGGCCAGGUGCUAUGGUUGCUGCUCUGCUCCCCAAAAGGAUUAAUGCCAUCUGUGCUUAGACCAAACCAUACGUUCCUUGCGUCAUCUGCAAACUCCUUCCCGUACUUUCUUUCGAUUUUUCUCCACUGCGACCCGUCAGCGGGUACUCUUAACUUUCCAUCUUUCUUACGGUCUUCUCUGUGCCAUCGCAUCUCCUUGGCAUGCUCUUUGUUUUGGAACAAAUGUUUCAACCGUGGUAUUAUAGGAGCAUACCACAUCACCUUGGCAGGAAUCUUCUUCCCGGGGCGCUCGCCCUCGACAUCACCAGGGUCAUCGCGGCUGAUCUUAUAGCGCAAUGCACCGCAUACUAGGCAAGCGUUCAAAUCCUCCUACUCACCGCAGUAGAGGAUGCAAUUAUUAGGGCAUGCAUGUAUCUUCUGCACCUCUAACCCUAGAGUGCAGACAUCCUUCUUUGAUUCGUACAUACUCUCGGGCAAUUCGUUGUCCUUUGGAAGCAUAUUCUUUAUCAUUACCAGCAACUUUCCAAAUCCCUUGUCAGAUACACCAUUCUCUGCCUUCCAUUGUAGCAAUUCCAGUGUGGUGCCCAGCUUUUUCUUGUCACCUACGCAAUUCGGGUACAACAAUUUUUCGUGAUCCUCUAACAUGCGCUGCAACUUCUUCUUCUCCAAAUCACUUGCGCAGUUUCUCUUUGCAUCGGCAAUGGCCCGACCUAGAUCAUCAACGGGCUCAUCCAAUGCCUCAUCUUCAGCUUCUUCCCGCAUUGCCGGCUCAGCUUCUUCCCGCAUUACCGGCUCAGCUUCUUCCCUCGAUGUUGUAUCAUUGUAUUCAGGGAACCCAUGGCUAGGAUAGCUGUCGUCGUCCUCUUCUUCUUCAUUGUCUUCCAUCAUAACCCCUCUUUCUCCAUGCUUGGUCCAAACAUUAUAGUGGGGCAUGAAACCGGACUCAAACAGGUGGACGUGAAUGGUUCUUGACGUAGAGUAAUUGUGACCAUUCUUACAGCCAGCACAUGGACAAGGCAUAAAACCAUCUGCCCGCUUGUUUGCCUUAGCCGCAAGCAGAAAAGUACGCACGCCAUUAAUGAACUCGGGAGAGCAUCGGUCAUCGUACAUCCAUUGCCGGCUCAUCUUAAUACACAGCACCGAAAACACCAAAUUAAUACAAUACAUACAGUUCAUACAUAAAGAUCAUACAACACUUAAAUGCAACAAACAAAUAACUCUCUAGCUAAAGAAUUUAAAUGCAACAACAAAUGCGAUCAAGAUCGCAACUAAGGUAACAAUUGAUCCAACAGCAUAAUGAUACCAAGCCUCACUAUGAAUGGCAUAUUUUCUAAUCUUUCUAAUCUUCAAGCGCAUUUUCUCCAUCUUAAUCUUGUGAUCAUCGACGACAUCGGCAACAUGCAACUCCAAUUCCAUCUUCUCCCCCUCAAUUCUUUUCAAUUUUUCCUUCAAAUCCUCGUUUUCUCUUUCAACUAAAUUUAACCUCUCGACAAUAGGGUCGGUUGGAAUUUCUGGUUCAACUACCUCCUACAUACAAAUAUCUAUGUCAACUUGAUGGGCAUAAUUUGUCAUAAACACGAAAUGCAAUGAAUAGUUUUAAAAGAGAAUAUACCACAUCCAAAUCAUAACCCGGACGAGGGCCGACGGGGACGGAUAUCAAAACCAUGGCACUAUGUAUAACAAACAAUGUAUGGGUAAGAUAAUUAUACGAGUAACUAUAUAUCCAAAUCACACAAACAUCAAUUUUUUAUAUAAAAUUUCAUGAACAAGAGGCUCACCACAAGGUGGUGCCGGCGAUGGGACGUUGCGAGCGAUCGGCGGUGGUUACGACGGAGAUUUAGAAGGUACUAAGUAAACCACACCUACAUAUGCAAACUAAGUGUUAUUUUUUACCUCAAAUUGCAUAUAAAUCAAAUACUAGCACAUAUAUAUAAUUCCUCCCAAAUUACUAAACUCAAAAAUCAAUCACUAUAUAAAGCAUUACACGAGCUAAUCUAGCAAUGAGAGAUGAAAGGACAAAGUUGCUAACCUUUGUGAUCAUUUGAAUUGAUGGGGGCCUUCAAAUCUUGACAAAUUUUGGGCAAAAUGUGUGAUGAGCUUGAGAGGAAGAUGGAAAAGAACAGAGAGGAGAGGGGAAAGGGGAAGAACAGAGCGAGCUCGGGUGGAUGAAGGGUCUGUGUAGGACGACCUUUAGUACCGGUUCGUGAUACGACCCGGUACUAAAGGUGCUGGAGGGGCCCCGGACUAACAACAUCCUGCCAUCACUCAAUUUAGUACCGGUUCGUGGCACGAACUGGUGCUAAAGGUUCGCCACGAACCGGUACUAAUGAGAGCGGCCGGCUAGCCGUUGGAACCGGCACUAAUGCACACAUUAGUGCCGGCUCAAAUUCAAACCAGCACUAAGGUGCUUCACAUUUGACCCUUUUUCUACUAGUGAAAGAAUGGAAUCAGUGGCUCGUUAAAGACAAUGAUUUGUUGGACCAGUUCCUGACAAAUGUACGUCUGGUUAGGGAGGCUGAGAUUCAACUCAGAAGACCGCGUCUUCACCUUAUUCCCCUUGAACUAAGGACACCCAGUCCUCGCCCAAUCACUCUGGUAAGUCUUCAAGGUAGACUUCCAAACCUUCACGGACUUCGUUCACCGGCGAUCCACAAUGACUCUUGGAUGCUCAGAACGCGACGCCUAACCGGUUGGAGGAUUCACAGUCCUCAAGUGUAAUAAGUCUUUAGAUCACACAGACAGGAAGACUUCAGUGAUGCCCAACACUCUUUGGCUCUGGGUGUUUAGGGCUUUGUCCUCGCAAGGAAUUCUCUCUCAAAGGCUUCGAGGUGGGUUGCUCUCAAACGACAAAAGCCGUACACUAACUCUGAGCAGCCAACCGUUUAUGGUUGUAGGGGGUGGGAUAUUUAUAGCCACUAGGCAACCCGACCUGAUUUGUCCGAAAUGACCCUGGGUCACUAAGGAACUGACACGUGUUCCAACGGUCAGAUUUCAAACACACGCGGCAAAUUUACUUGGGCUACAAGCAAAGCUGACUUAUCCAGCUCUGGAUAAGAUUUGCUCUCAUUGUCUUCACUCGAAGACAUAGGAUUUUGGUUAAGCAUCACUUCAGUCAUUCUGACUGGUUCACUUGGACCCCACUUAACAGUACGGUGGUUCCUAUGACUCAACAAAGAAGAAAAAGAACGACGAAACAACUAAGUCUUCGCGCUCCAUAGUCUUCACGCGAUGUCUUCUCUUGUCAUAGUCUUCAGAAUGUCUUCACAUACCACCUUUGACUUCAAUGUCUUCAUACAUUUUUAGGGGUCAUCUCUGGUAGGAAAACCGAAUCAAUGAGGGACUUCUACCUAUGUUAUCCUGCAAUUCUCACAAACACAUUAGUCCCUCAACCAGGUUUGUCGUCAAUACUCCAAAACCAACUAGGGGUGGCACUAGAUGCACUUACACUUCUUCACUUGAGCAGCAACUGGCUUGUUGUUCUUCUUGAAGUUCCCCUUCUUCCGUUUACCCUUUUUCUUGAAACUGGUGGUCUUGUUGACCAUCAACGCUUGAUGCUCCUUCUUGAUUUCUACCUUCGCAUCCUUUAGCAUCGCGAAGAGCUUGGGAAUUGUCUUAUCCAUCCCUUGAAUAUUAUAGUUCAUCACGAAGCUCAUGUAGCUUGGUGGCAGUGAUUGAAGAAUUCUGUCAAUGACACUAUCAUCCGAAAGAUUAACUCCCAGUUGAAUCAAGUGAUUGUUAUACCCAAACAUUUUGAGUAUAUGCUCAUUGACAGAACUAUUCUCUUCCAUCUUGUAGUUGUAGAACUUAUUGGAUACUUCAUAUCUCUCAAUCCGGGCAUUUGCUUGAAAUAUUAACUUCAACUCCUGGAACAUCUCAUAUGCUCCAUGACGUUCAAAACGUCGUUGAAGUCCCGGUUCUAAGCCGUAAAGCAUGGCACACUGAACUAUCGAGUAGUCAUCAGCUUUGCUCUGCCAGACGUUCAUAACAUCUGGUGUUGCUCCUGCAGCGGGUUUGGCACCUAGUGGUGCUUCCAGGACGUAAUUCUUCUGUGCAGCAAUGUGGAUAAUCCUCAAGUUACGGACACAGUCCUUGUAAUUGCUACCAUCAUCUUUCAACUUUGCUUUCUCAAGGAACGCAUUAAAAUUCAACGGAACAACAGCAGGGGCCAUCUAUCUACAACAACAUAGACAUGCAAAAUACUAUCAGGUACUAAGUUCAUGAUAAAUUAAAGUUCAAUUAAUCAUAUUACUUAAGAACUCCCACUUAGACAGACAUCCAUCUAACCAUCUAAGUGAUCACGUGAUCCAUAUCAACUAAACCAUGUCCGAUCAUCACGUGAAAUGGAGUAUUUUUCAAUGGUGAACAUCACUAUGUUGAUCAUAUCUACUAUUUGAUUCACGCUCGACCUUUCAGUCUUAGUGUUCCGAGGCCAUAUCUGCAUAUGCUAGGCUCGUCAAGUUUAACCCGAGUAUUCUACGUGUGCAAAACUGGCUUGCACCCGUUGUAUGUGAACGUACAGCUUAUCACACCCGAUCAUCACGUGGUGUCUCAGCACGACUAACUUUCACAACGGUGCAUACUCAGGGAGAACACUUAUACCUUGAAAUUUAGUGAGAGAUCAUCUUAUAAUGCUACCGUCGAUCUAAGCAAAAUAAGAUGCAUAAAAGAUAAACAUCACAUUCAAUCAAUAUAAGUGAUAUGAUAUGGCCAUCAUCAUCUUGUGCCUGUGAUCUCCAUCUCCAAAGCAUCGUCAUGAUCACCAUCGUCACCAGCUUGACACCUUGAUCUCCAUCGAAGCAUCAUUGUCGUCAUGCCAACUAUUGCCUCCACGACUAUCGCUACCGCUUAGUGAUAAAGUAAAGCAAUUACAUGGCGAUUGCAUUUCAUACAAUAAAGAGACAACCAUAUGGCUCCUGCAAGUUGCCGAUAACUGCCUUACAAAACAUGAUCAUCUCAUACAAUAAAAUUUAGCAUCAUGUCUUGACCAUAUCACAUCACAACAUGCCCUGCAAAAACAAGUUAGACGUCCUCUACUUUGUUGUUGCAAGUUUUACGUGGCUACUACGGGCUUAGAAAGAACCGUUCUUACCUAUGCAUCAAAAAACCACAACGCGGUAUAGUGAUUGCUUUUUGAUCUUCAGAAAUAACCUUGUUCAUUGAAUCCGAUUCAACUAAAGUUGGAGAAACAGAUACCCACUAGCCACCUGUGUGCAAAGCACGUCGGUAGAACCAGUCUCGCGUAAGCGUACGCGUAAUGUCGGUCUGGUCUGCUUCAUCCAACAAUGUCGCUGAAUCAAGAAUCAACUAGUGACGGCAAGCAAUAUGUAUAUACCCACACCCACAACUCCUUUGUGUUCUACUCGUGCAUAUAACAUCUAUGCAUAAACCUGGCUCGGAUGCCACUGUUGGGGAACGUAGUAAUUUCAAAAAAAUUCCUACGCACACGCAAGAUCAUGGUGAUGCAUAGCAACGUGUGGGGAGAGUGUUGUCCAUGUACCCUCGUAGACCAUAAGCGGAAGUGUUAUGAGAACGCGGUUGAUGUAGUCGUACGUCUUCAUGAUCCGACCGAUCCAAGUAUCGAACAUACGGCACCUCCGAGUUCAGCACACGUUUAGCUCGGUGACGUCCCACGAACUCCGAUCCAGGAGAGCUUCGAGGGAGAGUUUCGUCAGCACGACGGCAUGAUGACGGUGAUGAUGAUGCUACCGACGCAGGGCUUCGCCUAAGCACCGCUACGAUAUGACCGAGGUGGAUUAUGGUGGAGGGGGCACCGCAAACGGCUAAAAGAUCAACUGAUCAACUUGUGUGUCUUGGGGUGCCCCCUGCCCCCGUAUAUAAAGGAGUGGAGGAGGGGGAGAGGCCGGCCCUCCUAGGCGCGCCCCAAGGGGAGUCCUACUCCCAUCGGGAGUAGGACUCCAAUCCUUCCAAGAGUAGGAGUAGGAGAGAAGGAAGGAGAAGGGAGGGGAAAGGAAAGGGGGGCGCCGCCCCCCUCCUUGUCCAAUUCGGACUAGAGGGAGAGGGGGCGCGCGGCCUGCCCUGGCCGCCCCUCCUCUUCUCCACUAAGGCCCAAUAGGCCCAUUACACUCCCCGGGGGGUUCCGGCAACCCCCGGUACUCCGGUAUUUGUCCGAACUUGCCCGGAACCCUUCCGAAGUCCAAACAUAGUCAUACAAUAUAUCGAUCUUUAUGUCUCAACCAUUUCGAGACUCCUCGUCAUGUUUGUGAUCAUAUCCGGGACUCUGAACUACCUUCGGUACAUCAAAACACAUAAACUCAUAUUACCGAUCGUCACCGAACUUUAAGUGUGCGGACCCUACGGGUUCGAGAACUAUGUAGACAUGACCUAGACUCGUCUCCAGUCAAUAACCAAUAGCGAAACCUAGAUGCUCAUAUUGGCUCCUACAUAUUCUAAAGAUCUUUAUCGGUCAAGCCGUAUAACAACAUACGUUGUUCCCUUUGUCAUCGGUAUGUUACUUUCCCGAGAUUCGAUCGCCGGUAUCCCCAUACCUAGUUCAAUCUCGUUACCGGCAAGUCUCUUUACUCGUUCCGUAAUGCAUAAUCCCACAACUAACUCAUUAGUCACAAUACUUGCAAGGCUUAUAGUGAUGUGCAUUACCGAGAGGGCCCAGAGAUACCUCUCUGACAAUCGGAGUGACAAAUCCUAAUCUCGAUCUAUGUCAACUCAACAAGCACCAUCGGAGACACCUGUAGAGCACCUUUAUAAUCACCCAGUUACAUUGUGACGUUUGGUAGCACUCAAAGCGUUCCUCCGGUACUCAGGAGUUGCAUAAUCUCAUAGUCAUAGGAACAUGUAUAAGUCAUGAAGAAAGCAAUAGCAACAAACUAAACGAUCAUCGUGCUAAGCUAACGGGUGGGUCAAGUCAAUCACAUCAGUCUCUAAUGAUGUGAUCCUAUUAAUCAAAUGACAAAUCAUGUCUAUGGUUAGGAAACAUAACCAUCAUUGAUUCAACGAGCUAGUCAAGUAGAGGCAAACUAGUGACACUCUGUUUGUCUAUGUAUUCACACAUGUACUAAGUUUCCGAUUAAUACAAUUCUAGCAUGAAUAAUAAACAUUUAUCAUGAUAUAAGGAAAUAUAAAUAACAACUUUAUUAUUGCCUCUAGGGCAUAUUUCCUUCAAAUUGAUCAUGGAGGGCUUAUAAAUCAUCCUUGCUGCCUUCCGAUGAUGCAUGAGUAGUUUACCGCAGACCGACGGGUCCAUAGCUAGUAGCUAAUUGGCUUCGUCUCUCUCUUCGAUCUUCAAUACAAUGUUCUCCUCGAUGUUCUUGGAGUUCUAUUCGAUGUAAUCUUGUUUUGCGGUGUGUUUGUUGGGAUCCGAUGAAUUGUGGGUUUAUGAUAUGAAUAUUUAUGAGAAGUAAUGGAGUCUUUUCUAAACUUUACUAUGCAUGAUUGUUAUAACUUUGUAUUUCUCUCUGAUCUAUCCGUUUGGUUUGGCCAAUUAAAUUAAUUUAUCUUCAGUGGGAGAGGUGCUUUGUAAUGGGUCCAAUCUUGCGGUGCUCCAUCCCAGUGACAAAGUAGGGGACAAGACACGUAUUUGUAUUGUUGCCAUUAAGGGUAAAACGACGGAGUUUAUUCAUACUACUUGGAUUUACUUUGUCUACAUCAUGUCAUCUUGCUUAAGGUGUUAUACUAUUUUUAUUAACUUAAUACCAUAGAUGCAUGCUGGAUAAGGUCGAUGGGUGGAGUAGUAGUAGAUGCAUGCAAGAGUCAGUCUACUUGUCUCAGACAUGAUGCCUAUAUACAUGAUCAUUGCCUUGAAUAUCGUCAUAACUAUGUGCUUUUUUAUCAAUUGCCCAACAAUAAUUUGUUCACCCACGUAUGCUAUGUGUUCGAGAGAGAAACCUCUAGUGAAGACUAUGGCCCCCAGAUCUACCUUUAUCAUACUCCCUCCGUCUAGAAAUACAUGUCGGAGAAAUGAAUAAAAAUGGAUAUAUCUAGAACUAAAAUACGUCUAGAUACAUCCAUUUCUUCGACAAGUAUUUUCAGACAGAGGGAGUAUAUAAAAACACAAAAAUACUUUACUACAAUUUUAUUUCUUUUAUUUUAUUUUGAAAUUUGUACCGCUACAAGAUUUGAUCCUUGCAAAUAGACGCCAAAGGGAUUGACAACCAUCUUGGUCACGUUGGGUGCAAGUAUUUUUUUUGUGUGUGCAGGUGUUGUUCAUGAGGUUUUGUGUGAUUCUCCUACUGGAUUGAUAACCUUGGUUUCAACUGAGGGAAAUACUUAUCUCUACUGUACUACAUCUCCUCUCCUCUUCGAGGAAAUCCCAACGCAGCUCACAAGUAGCAGUGAUUCAAUCACAUUAGUGAAUACCAGACUGUGGGUUGAAACAUGAGUGUUAUGUUGAGAAACAUGGAAUGUGGGGUAAAGCGGGCUUGUAGCUGGUUAGUCGAUAAGGAGUUAUACCAAUUCUUUCCACGAUGGUCAAUGGUCUAAAGAACUUCCUGGGGAGAUUUGGAAAAACGUUUGUUGACCACAUAAGUCUCAGCAUGGGGUUGAAGUUUCAGAUAUAGAGAUUCUCCCACAACAAACUCUCUGAAUGUUCUAGUCUUAUCAACAUCAUAUUUCAACAAACUCUUUUGCAGCCAAUUAUCCAACUCAACAUGUGCAUCAUGGAGGGGUUGUGGCAGUUGCCCCAAAAUGGGCUCAUGCCCAUAGAUGGUCUUCAAAGGAGUACACCCCAGUGAAGAAUCUCUACUCCUAAUGGACGACUUGCUUGAAUAGUCCCCCCCAUUUUUAACCGGUUUUUUUUCAACCGGUUUUUUUUCGACCGGUUUUUCUUCGUCCCACCUCCCACCACCCCCCUCCCACCGGUUUUUCUCUUUUUCGUCUGGCCGACAAUACCCAACGUAUUUAUGGUAAUCAAUCACAAUUAAUCCACGUAUGGUAAGGCUAUAAACUUAGAAAUCUCAAAUAUGAUAAUUAUAGUAAUAAAUCAAUCCAUGUAUGGUAAGGCUAUAACUAAGAAAAUUUCGAAUAUGGUAAUUAUCACCAGAAUCAAAGCUUUCCAAAAAAGUUCUUCUUGCCAUACCCUAAUCGUGACCUCCUCAUCCUGAGGCAUUAUUUCCAUCUAUUUCUCAGCUGAAUCAGAACUUUCCAAAACUUUGUCUGACUAAAUCACAAUUUUCCUUCCUUCCCUAUCAUCUCAAUCGAAUCAUGAGCUAUAGGUAAGUCAUUUCGUUCUCCACCUCGCACGGGUUGUACUGAUUUUUAUCAUGGUUUGGCCCCCUGCCGUACAAGCCGCUCGAUUCCUCCUCCCUCGCUCAAUUCCUCCACCCUAUCUUCUUCUUCAUGGUGAGCGACCCAGGCAGCGAUGCAUGCCCGUUAUGCAUCAGCGAGGAGGACCAGGAAACGUUGAUUGCCAGCCCCGCACUCGUCAAGUGAACCCGUUCACCGUCAGGUCAUGCUGGUGUGUUACGGGUGUAGGUGCACCUUACCUUAGCCAUGGAGGUUUGCCGGUGGACAACGGAGGCCUCGCCAUGGACACCAGUAUCCCUCUCCUCUUCCUGCGCCCUACCUCUCCUUCCUCAGUCUCUACCUCUCUCUCUCUUUUUCUCUGUUCUGGGAGAUCUGCAGCCGACACCGCAGGCCCUGCCCGUUCGCUGCCGGUCACCUCGCCUCGUUGUUCGAUCUCACCGCUGGAUAUGCACAACUCCGCCGCCCUGUGCCGUCCUCGUCGGGCACCAUCAUGGCGGCACGAACACUGUAUGCAGUGGCUACAAUUGGCGGUGGAUUCAACAGCGCGGUGGGCACUAGCGAGUAGCGACCCAGCGGGCAGCGGCUGUGCUGGCCGCUGUCUGCCGCCAAGGUGUAACGGCUCGGGCCCAGACUCCGAGUUCGUCAUGGCGCUCCGCGCGACUUCCCUUGCGCCGGCUGACUCAUGCAUGCAUCUACAAUCUAACUAGCUAAUUCCUCCCUUUGACUGCUAUUUUCUCUGGUUGUACUGUUCCACAACUUAGGGAUCAUCUACACAAUCCAUCGUCUCAUGCAUUCACAAUCUAAUUAAUUUGUCUACUGACUGCAGUUUAUGAAUUGCUCCACAGAUCAUUUAUAGAGAUGAUUUCAGACUUAGAAGUGUUGAGGUCAUGAUGCUCUAAAUAGUUUUGAAGUUGUAUUCACGACAUCAUGAUGCUCUAAAUGAAAUGAAAAUUUGAUGGAUUCAAGAAGAAAAAGGUCAGGUAUGUUUAGUAUGCACUACAGUAGAAAUUUCACUUGUGGUCAUCUUGGGAUACUUGUACAUGCUUGGUGUUACAAUAAUUCUACUAAUUAAUUCCAUGAAAGUGCUGAAAUUUGCUCAGUGAACAAGAAACCCACUGGGUAACAUAUUUGGACGCCAUACAAGUGGAUCUGCAUUUUUUCAUUAAGGUGUUGUCUCAUCUUUUAAUUUGCAUCGUCGCUCUUGAAUAAUUAGUUUUCAUAGAGAUUUAUCUUUGAUCUGAACAUUUUGAACUUUCUUUUUGCAUAACCUUGAUAAAAGGAUUGACAACAAAUAAUCAGAGAAGACUAGCCAACUAGAUGAGGAGAGGAAAGAAGUGAAAAGAGACAAAAUACAGUAUGAUAUAUCAAUUUAGAAGUCGUAGCAAUGCACAUCUUUCUAAAUAUAUAUCUUUAUGUGAUUGGUCACAAGUUGUAGUUGGUAGUGGUAGUAGUAUAUAUUCACUAUAAUUGUUUGUACGAAAUCACAUUAAAAAAAUCACACAUAAAUCACAACAAUUGCGUGCAAAAACACAUAAUCUUACCAUAUUUCAUAGGGUGCUAUCAUUUUUCAUGUUUGUAGUUGUAUGAGAAUAUUAAAUGUAUUAUUAACAUGAUUAUUAAAUGUAUGAGAAUAUUAACAUGAUUAAUAUUGAAAUCUUAAAGUUAACAUGAUUAAUAUUGAACUCUUACCAUAUUUUCAUAUGUCACUUGAUAUGUAUGAGAAUAUUAAAUAUAUUAUUAACAUGAUUAAUAUUGAAUUCUUAAAGUUAAUGUGGCCCCGUUGCAACGCACGGGCGUUCUUCUAGUAAAAGGUAAUGCUCAUGUUUUGGUUGUUGAAAAAUCUAACACCGUUGAACAAAGUUAUCAAAAAAUUAAUUACAGUUUUAAUCCCUACCCACUGAAAUAGUUUAUGAAUUCUUCCGUAAGUUGCUUGGCUUCCAUAAAAUGCCCCCCUCCCCCACUUGAGAUGAAUGUAAUGCUUCAAUUGUUUUUGUCUGAAGGCCGGGAUUUACAUCCACCAAAAUCCUACUUAGAUUUUUCAGAAAGCCACUUUCCAAAGAAUAUUCAGACUCUUCAUCACGGUUCAUUGCAAGUUUAUGAAGCUACUGACGAGAAUGAAUGUCAAUCUCAUAAGAGUUCAUAAUUUCUUCUAUCCAAACUGGUUGAGUUGAAGAAGCUGUUGGUAAAGCAAACACAUGUCUCACUCUAGAAAGUGCAUAUGUUGCCUUAAUUUUAGAAUCUUUUUUAUACUGAAAAGUGAACUAGAAGCCCACUAAUUUUCGCAUGGCCUUUCUUUUUAAAUUAGUAAUUAAUUCUUGGUUGCCCAGCUAACAAAGGAUUUUGUGACAUGUUUUUAUAACAAAAGGACCUCUAAUGCAUAUCCACUACCAUAAUAAUGGCCAUAUACUCCUUUUCAUAAAUGCUCACUUUUUGAUUAGAUGGAUGACCUUCUUGGAUGAGCACUGCCCCAACGCCAGUAUCACAGGCAUUUGUUUCAAUACAAUUUUUUGCUAAAGUCGGAGAGGACCAUUACUAGAGUUGUUUCAAUGGCUUGUUUCAAUUGCUCGAAAGCUAUUUGAGCUAUAGGAUACCAGAUAAAGGCUUUCUUCUUCAAAAGUUGUGUCGGUGGUUUAGCAAUAAUUCCAUAGAUUUGCACAAGUUUCCUAUAAUAUCUCGCCAGACCCGAAAAUGCCCUGAGCUCGGUAACUGGAGUUGGAACCGACCAUUUGAGCAUGAAAUCGGUUUUUGUAGGAUUAGUAGCAACUCACUUAUAUGACAUGAUAUGACCCAAAUAUUCCAAUUGCUGAUGAGCAAAAGAGCAUUUGUGAGCUUAGCAGAUUCUUUCUAAAAAUAGCAAACACAUACUAUAGAUGUUGCUGGUGGGCCUGAAGAACCUUGUUAUAAAUAGGCCCGUCGACGAGGCAGGCCAAAGUGACCAAUCGCACAGGGCCCCCAAAUCACUGGAUACUGUGUAGGCUUUAUCAGAAAACAAAAAACCAGCAGCGAAACAGCCAUCCUGCACGUAUGGAUCGCUGCCAGCCUGUAGCCUACUCACUUCGCCCGUUCGCCGUUUCGCUGCUCCUCGAUCGCGUGCCCGCCUUGCCCUACUGCGUCGCUGCCUAAUGAGCGAUUGAUCAACUGAUAAUUAAUCAACUGUAGCACUCUUCGUUAUACUUUAGAUAGAUUAAUAAUUAAUAAAUGACUUUAUGCUCCCAAGGUUCGUACUUCCCAUGAAUUGGUAGAACAGUUUUAUGAAGAUAGGUGUGCAUACAUCAUUUUUUUUUAGCACAUGAGUCUAGUUUAUUAAUUUGGCGCUACCUUUCCUCUUUUCAAACUCAUGUUUGAUCUAUUUCUAAAUAUUGUAUGAAGUAACCCAUAUUUGUAUGAAAUUAACACAUAUUGGAAGUUAUACAAUAAAAUGGAUGCAAGAUUUGAUUAUAUUAGUUCUUUACUUAUAGGAUUUUUUUGAAAAAAAUCAAGAGUCCCAUUUAACAUUUCGCACCGGGCCCCGAAAUCCUGGAGGUGGCCCUGGUUAUAAACCAAUAUAUCAUCCACAAAAAUCAAUAUAGAUUCUUUUUAUUUUCCCUACAAAUACUGCAUUCAUCAGGCACUGAAAUAUUGCAGGUGCAUUGGUAAGUCCAAAAGGCAUGACCCUGAGUUGAUAUUGCCCUGAUGUGUUUUGAAAGCAGUUUUGUUUUCAUCCGUUUCCACCAUCCUUAUCUGAUGAUAACCUGCUCUAAGAUCCAACUUCGAGAACCACUUUGUACCAACUAGUUCAUCCAAAAGUUCAUCAACUACCGGCAUAGGAAAUUUGCUUUUCAUAGUCACUGCAAUAAGCCUUUUGUAAUCUACACAAAUCAUCCAUGUCCCAUGCUUCUUUUUAACCAACACAACAGGUAAUGCAUAAGGAGACAUGCUAGGUUUGACAAUGCAUGCUGCAAUCAUUUCAGCUACUUGUCUCUCAAUCUCAUCAUUCUAAAGAGGUGAGUACCUAUAAAGUUUGGAACUAACUGGUGGGAAGUAACGAUAUAGCAUGGUAAAACUCUCUAUGAGGUGCCAGUCAUUUUGGUUCUUGGAAUAUAUGCUGAAAUUGCUUAAGAGUUUUCUGAAUACAUUCCGGUACUGAAGAAUUUUCAGUUUCAGAACUAGGAGACAGAACAGUUUUAGCGCAAAUGACAUUCCCUUUAUGGAAUUUAGCAACUUGCUUUGAAGUUAACUCUUGUAAUUUAGUAGCUGAGGUUUCCUGCAAACCUUGCAGAAUGACAAUUUCUCCUUGCAUCCAACCUGAAUCCAUUUUCCUCCCGGUGAAAAACCAUGGGACCCCAUUGAGAAAGCCAGUCCAUCCGGCCCCAGUAUAGCAUCAUAACCUCCUAAGCUGAGAAUGUUCAUGUCAGUAGCAAAAGUAUGCCCCUGAAAUCCACCACUCUAAUGCAUAAAUUGUUGUUUACACUAAAGAAAAUCCCCAUUGGCAACUUACACUGACAUGGGCCUUAGUAACUGUCCGGUGGUGCAUUGCAACUUAUCCGCAAGCUGCUGAUGAAGGAAUGUAUGAGAACUCCCUGCGUCCACCAACAGUAACAUCUCAUGGUUUCCCAGCAGAGCCCUCAACCCGGUGGUUUUGGUGUUGGUAGUUCCUGACGGAGCAUUGACACAUAAAUAUGAUGCAACUUGUUCUGCCAACUCAAUUGCUUUAGCCUGAACAUUUUGCUUGGCCACAGGAACACGGCGAGGAGUGAACUUGUCACCAUAGCUAUAACAGAGCCCAAUUUGUGUUAUGUAGCCUCCCAGAUGCCUUGCUUUCCAUAAAUCUCCAGCAGAUAACUGAUGUUUAUUCUAGGGUUCUUCUCUUGGUACAGUGCCCUUGGCAGAUCCUGGCCUCCUUGCCUUGGUAGACUGAGAUUUCACUCUGUCCAACAUAACUUCCCGCACAAGAGCAUUUCCCACUCCAUCUCGUCUAGAUCCAACAUAACUUCACUACUGUUUGCUGUGUUCCUUGUCUGAACAUGUUAGGUCCCUUGGUUUGGAUCCAUUCAUUCCUUGUCGCCGUGUCAGGUCGACAUCCACAGGCCCCAUGCAUCUCAUUCUCACUCACCUUAUUAAUCAACACCAACUGCUUCUUCAGUUCGUCUCCCCAGUCUGAAUCCCUCCGUGUGGACUGGACCCAUGCAUGCACAUUUCUUCAGCCCAAAGCUUGCAUCGGGACCAGAUCGAGACCCAUCGGUGGACCGCCGAUGCACGCAGCAGCAUUAAGUCGCACAGCAUGCAGUUUUGAUGCUGAAAACCACAAGGGGUUUAUUUCAUCUCUUCCUUCAUCCCAAGAGAGCAGCAAGGACCAUUCCGUACCAACCGUCCUCCCCCUUCUCCUCCGGGUUCAUUCAUUCCGCCGGUUCCGACCCGGCUUGUGCACGGGUCUGUUGGAGCGCCAUCGUUAUUGACGAACAGCAAUGCCAGCGCGAUGAAUGUUCAGGGAAUUCGGGUGUGCUGAAAACCAAGUGAGAAUUGGAGGUGCAAGGUGCAAGCACAAGCACAUACGACAGACGGAAACACAACAGCAGAGGUGACGGUGCCGUUCAACACAUUUGUUUCUCGCCAACUCGACAAGUUUGCUAGAUAGGGCAGCAUCAUGAUCCAUGCACAACAAUGGAUGUUCAGAACAAGAACAGCAAGAACAAGAACAACAAUAGGGUACCAUUACCAACCCUCCUCCCUCAGUUUGCUAUGAAGAGCAGCAUUCACAAUUCAGGAAGAGCAAAUGUCACAAUACAUGUUCAGCAAGAGCAAUGUCACAAUUCAGUGUGCCGAAAAAACGGAUGUGAAGUAGCAGUACAACACACAAACAUAUACUCUAACAGACCACACAUCGCCAACUCGAUGACAAGUUUGUUAGACAGAGCAGCAUCAUGAUUCAUCAAGAACAAGAGAUGUUCAGGUCAUUUGAACACGCUAAAAAAAUGCAGCUACGUAAAAAAUAGCAGAGGUAAACCAAAAUAGAUGCUCAACAGAUUAAUUAAUCCUUGUUUCAAUUUGCACCGGACAAGUCAGAUAAAAGCCAUCCAGAUCCAGGAGCACUAGUAGUAUCUUACAGCGGUAGUAGCAGUACCAUUUUAACCAGCCAGCCCAUCUUCCAGGCAUACACACACACACACACACACACACACACACACACACACUUGUUGCGGUAAUCAUCCUAGCGGUUUUUCAGUUGACAACAACAACAAAACAGCCAGCAUCAUUCUCAUCAUCUGGCACAAAAGCACAACACACACAGACACACUCAGGGGACUAUAGGACGCCGAGCGACCAACGAAUCAAUCAGCAACGCUUCUCGCCUGCUGCUCCGGGGGCGUUUCUUGACAGCGGCCGAGAGGCAUGCAGGGGGAGGUUGACAGCGGAAUGGCGAACUUUUCAACAUAUAUGUAGGCAGCCGUCGUCAAAAAAGAAGGGCAAAGGGAAAAGAAAAACUGUAACCGUGAUCCAUGUUCCGGCAGGUAGCUUCUUUUUUAGCUUCUAGUAAGUAUAUCUUGGGGGUGGUGUUCUCUUUUCUGUUGUUGUCGUCCUUGUCGAGGCGCUGUGCUGUGCUAGCAGGAAGAGCCCUUGUGGCACGACAGGGCGCCCGCCCCAGAGGUGAUGGUGGCGACCAUGGAUGAGGACUUGGCACCGAGGCUGGAAGCGCGCGAGUAGCUGGCUGAGGCGCCUGCCCCCGAUGGGGUGAAGAAGGCGCCGUUCAGCAGCAUAUCACCCUCUGAUCUCCAGUUCCAGGCCUUCCAGGUGGUCUGAGCGGUCUCGACUCUCUUUGUC